This 256-nucleotide ribosomal RNA is filed under the name uncultured bacterium. RNAcentral's name for it is "partial 16S ribosomal RNA". It matches the Rfam family "Bacterial small subunit ribosomal RNA", at positions 524 to 777 of the family's 1533-position model. The record is from RNAcentral.
UACGUAGGGUGCGAGCGUUGUCCGGAAUUAUUGGGCGUAAAGGGCUCGUAGGCGGUUUGUCACGUCAGGAGUGAAACUCGGGCUCGAACCCGAGCCUGCUUCUGAUACGGGCAGACUAGAGUGGUGGUAGGGGAGACUGGAAUUCCUGGUGUAGCGGUGAAAUGCGCAGAUAUUGGGAAGAACACCUGAGGCGAAGGCGGGUUGCUGGGCUGAGUACUGACGCGUGAGGCGCGGAAAGCCAGGGAGGCAAACAGGG